This 207-nucleotide ribosomal RNA is filed under the name uncultured bacterium. Its description in RNAcentral is "partial 16S ribosomal RNA". It matches the Rfam family "Bacterial small subunit ribosomal RNA", at positions 568 to 774 of the family's 1533-position model. The record is from RNAcentral.
CGUGUAGGCGGCCAAGCAGGUCCGUUGUGAAAACUGGAGGCUUAACCUCCAGACGUCGACGGAAACCGCGUGGCUAGAGUCCAGAAGAGGAGAGUGGAAUUCCUGGUGUAGCGGUGAAAUGCGCAGAUAUCAGGAAGAACACCAAUGGCGAAGGCAGCUCUCUGGGACGGUACUGACGCUGAGACGCGAAAGCGUGGGGAGCGAACA